Molecule: RNA transcript, 3199 nt
Organism: Nymphaea colorata (pocket water lily)
Lineage: Eukaryota; Viridiplantae; Streptophyta; Magnoliopsida; Nymphaeales; Nymphaeaceae
Gene name: probable sugar phosphate/phosphate translocator At1g06470
Exons: 13
Source: RefSeq, a predicted model, not a curated record
CAAUGCCUCUCACCUUGUCGGUACUGUAUGUUCACACCCAUGGUUGCAUCAAAACGGCGGGUCUACGCGACGUUCGGAAGCAUAAAGAUCUUCCCACGAACGCCUCUCUAUCUCUCCUCGGGCGAUCUGCGGAGUCUGACCACCCCCCAGAUCUGAUCGAACCAACCGCUGCGUGCCAACUAUAUCUCGGGUCAACCUGUUCUUUUAUUUCGUCCUCCGACGUUCUCUGUUCGUGCUUUGGUAGUCAUCAUUGGAUUGCAGAACAAGGAGGGUGAUUCAGAGGUCCCCGUUGAUUGAUACUGACAAUUGAUCUUGUCGGUUCGGAUGGUUGGUUAUCCUUUCCUUUUUUGUUUAUGGGAGAUUUCUUGGCCUGGUUGGUGACCGACGAAAAGGUGGGAUUUGGUUUUCGGUAGCUGGUAGGCCUGAAUUUGGUGUUAGUGAAGAUGGGCACCUCUGAUUGGUUCCUCUUAACGUUGCUUGAUGUGGAGUUGGGCGUUUCCAGGACAUGGAUUCAGUAAUCGAUUAUGCUCGACGGAAUUAUUGUAAUUAUGGCAACCAUUCGGAUAGGAUGCUCUGUCUCGAUUAGUUCGACUAUAUUAUGAUUGUUCAUUUUUGAGUGGCGACUGGUGAGUGGUUGCCUGGGACGUCCGCGACAGCGAGAGAGAGGCCAAUGGGAGAAGGCAGUCACGUGGAUGCGGAGAAGAAUGAAGAGUGUGAAGAUAGAGGAGCAAGGUCGGAAACCGCUGUGCCGGUUCUCCGAAAGGAGCCAUCCUUCUCGAGGUGGUGCGGUGAAGUUGGGGCGGAUGGUUCCGCAGAGUCGAGCGAUCGGUCGAAGAACGGCCUAGAGGAUGGUGAUUUUGAGCUGCCAUUGCCUCUGGUAGAUGGGAAUGAAAGUGGGGUUUCAGAUAGUGACAGAAGAAACUCGGUUGAGAUCGAUCACUUGGAUAAAAGAUCUAACAGUUUCCGGCAGAGAAGCAUCCAUUUGAACGGUGGCCUGAUGGGAGAGGACUCAAUGAGUGCAGGAAACUCGGGUUCACCACGUAAUAACGAUGAUAUUGCUGGAAACGGGAAGAAAUUUUCUUCGUUUUAUGUUGAAAAUGAGAGCAGUAGUAGGUCAGGGAGUCCACGGCUAUGGGUUACACCCCCUAGAGAUAGGAUUUUUUCUGAUUUCAAGGUUGAGAACGAUGAUUCAAAAGGUACAAGUGAAACGAGCAUUUCCGCAGCAACGGUUAUUAGAACGUUGCUCCUUAUACUUGUGUGGUAUACUUUCAGCACAUGUUUGACACUGUACAACAAAACUCUCUUGGGAGAUCACUUGGGCAAAUUCCCUGCUCCAUUCCUCAUGAACACGGUCCACUUUACAAUGCAAGCUGUUUUGUCAAAGGCUAUUCUAUGGUUCUGGUCUGAGAGAUUCGAAAAUAAUGGAAUCAUGUCUUGGAGGGACUACUUCAUAAGGGUUGUGCCAACUGCUCUUGGGACUGCACUGGACAUAAAUUUAAGCAAUGCAUCCCUUGUUUUCAUAUCUGUGACGUUUGCUACUAUGUGUAAAUCUGCUGCUCCAGUUUUUCUUCUGUUGUUCGCUUUUGCAUUCAAGUUGGAAUCUCCAAGUAUAAAGCUUUUUGGAAUAAUAUUCAUAAUCUCCACCGGCGUUCUCUUAACAGUGGCAAAAGAAACAGAGUUUGAGUUUUGGGGAUUUCUUUUUGUCAUGCUUGCUGCUGUCAUGUCAGGAUUCCGUUGGUCAAUGACUCAGAUUCUUUUACAGAGGGAAGCUUAUGGGUUGAAGAAUCCCAUCACUUUGAUGAGCUAUGUCACUCCAGUUAUGGCACUCGUUACUGCUCUGCUUUCCUUAAUGUUUGAUCCUUGGAUUAACUUUAAGCAGAACUACUACUUUAAUGGUUCAUGGCAUAUUGUUCGAAGUUGCUUGCUGAUGCUUCUGGGAGGGGGUUUAGCUUUUUUUAUGGUUCUAACGGAGUAUAUUCUUGUUUCAGCAACUAGUGCAGUGACAGUCACAAUUGCAGGUGUUGUCAAGGAGGCUGUCACCAUAGUGGUUGCAGUAUUUUACUUCCAUGAUGAGUUUACACUAUUGAAAGGAUUUGGUCUUUUGACAAUAAUGGUUGGUGUCAGCUUGUUCAACUGGUACAAGUACCAGAAGCUGCAAAAAGGCCAGCUUGGACAUGGAGAAUCUUUUGAGUCCCCACAUACCAAUGGCUCGGUAAAGUAUGUCAUUCUUGAUAAUAUGGAUGAGGAAGCUUGAAAAAGAAAUACAAGUAAAACAUUGAGGAUUGAUGGUUUCAUCGAUGAGCAAGGGAAUCCUCAUUUCAAGGCACCCAAAAAAAAACAGAAGUUUGAGAAACAAAUGGCUUCUUUGUCAUUUGGUUACCAACCAGGUGCAAGGACCAGAUGCAGAAACAAAUUUGGAAACUGUGUUACAAGUUUCAUAUAAUUGUAGCUGUAGAAUGAUUCAGAUGGUUGAAGAGAUUUUGUUGCUCUAAUGGAUAAGAAGCUGGUUACUGUCCGUCAUUUUAAAAUUUAAACAUUACACUGAUGUACGAGCCCCAGUCGGUCAGUGGAGUCGAGCUGAGGAUGCCACUAAAGCAGGCAUUAUGAGGCUUCAUCAUGUCAGUGGCUAUGAGCAAAAAGCUGGUGUAUUUAGAGUUUUGUCCUCUUUCAUAUUCAACACAAUGGCGGUGGUAGCAGUUAGUAGCAUGCCACGUAUUGAAUUAGAAGUUCUUUGUUCUCACUGGUACCGUCUAUCCAUCUCCGUUGCAAUACAUUCUCUGGCAGUGCAGCUGUGCACGUGUCUACUGGUGAUCCCUUGUCUUCAGCAAAUCUGUAUGCCGUCUGAUAUUAGAUACUUGGGGGACAUUGCAAAACUUGGAGAGUUGGUUUGCUGCAAGAUUAGAUUGUACCAUGCAAAAAGGUUGCUUGGAUAGUUUACGACUUUGUUGCACUCUCUACCACUGGAGAAGUUGCUGAAUCUCAUUUUUGUCAAAAAUGUAAUUUUUUUUUUGACAACUCGGUGAAAGAUCAAGCUGAUUGAGCCGUCUCAUGCAUUUGCUUAAGAUUGUAUUUUUAAUUUUAAUUUUUUUUUCUUUGUUGAAAUAUCUGCUAGAUGUACAGCAACACGACACGCCAAGUUGUAAGAAUUGAUACUUGCAUUUUAAAGAUUGUACUUACUAUGAUCCAUGUUAAAUGUCAA